CCUGGAGGUGCAUCUCUCUGUCCAUCUUAAAUCUAAAGGAGAAUAAUCCUCUCAGGGUUAGAUGUUUUAGGUUAGGAGUCAUGAGGAUAUAAGGGAGCACAGGAAUUUCCCUGAUAAUAGUUUGCCCAGGUUUCUGGGGGUACAAUGCCCAGGCCACCGGUACUCUUGAAGGAACAACGGUUCAGGGAGAAGGAAUGUAUGGACUGACUCUUCAGAAUAUCUUCUGCCUGGGCUUUGAGAUCUCCUUUCUAUUUUCAUUUGAUUUUCAUCCUUCACAAUGGUCAUCACUCUGGAUCUUAAGACAGCCGAGUCAGGUCUCAUUAUAUCUGAGGAUCGAAAGAGCAUGAGAUAUGGAGGUGUCCAAGAGGGAUUGCCCAAUGGUACUGGGAGUUGAUCUUUUUGCCUGUGGCUUUGGGAUUCAGUCCUUCAAUUCAAGAUGUUACUGGGA
Molecule: long non-coding RNA, 448 nt
Filed under: Monodelphis domestica (gray short-tailed opossum)
Lineage: Eukaryota; Metazoa; Chordata; Mammalia; Didelphimorphia; Didelphidae
Description: lncRNA (ENSMODG00000041179.1)
Source: RNAcentral